CCUACGGGAGGCAGCAGUGAGGAAUAUUGGUCAAUGGCCGGAAGGCUGAACCAGCCAUGCCGCGUGAUGGUCAGUGCCCUAUGGGCGUUAAACUUCUUUUGUGCGGGAGCAAUAAUGGUCACGUUUGGCCAGACUCGCGUACCGUCCUAAUACGCAUCGGCUCACUCCGUGCCAGCAGCCGCGGUAAUACGGGGGAUGCAAGCGUUAUCCGGGUUUAUUGGGUUUCAAGGGUGCGUAGGCUGGGAGGUAUGUCAGCGGUGAAAUGCCCCCGCUCAACGGGGUGAAGUGCCAUUGAUACUGCCGUGCUGGAAUGCGGAUGCCGUGGGAGGAAUGUGUGGUGUAGCGGUGAAAUGCAUAGAUAUCACACAGAACACCGAUUGCGAAGGCAUCUCACGAAGCCGCGAUUGACGCUGAUGCACGAAAGCGUGGGUAGCAAACAGGAUUAGAUACCCUGGUAGUC
This 460-nucleotide ribosomal RNA is filed under the name uncultured bacterium. RNAcentral's name for it is "partial 16S ribosomal RNA". It matches the Rfam family "Bacterial small subunit ribosomal RNA", at positions 338 to 795 of the family's 1533-position model. The record is from RNAcentral.